UUUCCGUAGGUGAACCUGCGGAAGGAUCAUUAGUGAAUAAACAAGUGCAGGUUGUGCUGGCCUUCUUGGUAUGUGCACGCCUGCCAACGUUUCAUUCUAUCUUCCCACCUGUGCACUAUGUGUAGAUUCUGUAUGCUAUUGUCAAGCCUUUUAUUAGGCUUGGUUGAGAGGAGUUGCUUGUUCUAUUGGACAAGCUCUUCCUGGGUAUGCAGGUCUAUGUUUUAUAUCAACACCAUAUGAAUGUAAUAGAAUGUGCUUUGGGCUUUUAGCCUUUAAAACAUAUACAACUUUCAACAACGGAUCUCUUGGCUCUC
RNAcentral lists this unclassified non-coding RNA (314 nucleotides) under plant metagenome. RNAcentral's name for it is "partial contains small subunit ribosomal RNA, internal transcribed spacer 1, and 5.8S ribosomal RNA". The record is from RNAcentral.